UACAACACAAUGCAUUUAUGUUUAUGGAGGCUCCGACAUGUAUUGCAUAACUGAUAAUGGAACAAAACCCGUACAGGUCGUACUUUCACUGGGCCAGGAUUCAUUUGUUCUUGCUGAAACCGAAAAGAACAACGGGUUGUACAGAUUCCGUAACGCUCAUCAACAAAUGGCUGGACUGUCAAGACAGAAUGUGACAUGUCAGGUUUCAAAUGCAGCCCUUGAAACACCUUACGAAGUGCAUGGCGUUCUAUGUAAAGUAGAGCAAGGUAGCCCGCCCAUGCUAACAGUUCCAGAAUUUUUUGAUGGAGAAAAUUCAACAGCAUCUUGUGCAGUUCGCAAUGCUAUCCCAGCUCCGGCAAUAGAAAUGCACAUUGGCACAGUCUUGCUAGAUGAUGUUCUACAAACUGAUUCUUUCCAAGGAUCUUCUUAUACUUUUACAAGCUCAGCAAGAGUGACAAAGGCUAACAUAGCGUGGAAUUGAAAAGAGAUGUGCUGCACCAGAAAGAGCAAAUACGAGUUUGGUUUUAAUGAUAUCUCAGUAUGCAAAAACAUCAGUAUGAAAUUCCCACCCUCGAACAUUUCUCUGUCCAUUACCAAAAUACCAAAAUACAACAACACUUAUUUUAUCAGUGUCUUAAAUAUUUCUUGUGAAACGAAUGAAUCAAAUCCGCCUUGCACAAUUGAAUGGUCAAGCGACAACAGUAAUUUGAGAUAUAUUCAGAGUAACAAUUGGACGAAUGGUGACAAUUGGAGAUAUAGUGCUGUAUCGAACGUGCUUUACAGUGUUUCUAAAUACAUGGCUGGGGGAACAGUUACUUGUUCAAUAAGAUGCGAUCAUUUUCAAUCAUAUUUGACUACAAACUACACAGUAUCUUCCUCAGGUGGUCCGACUCUGUAUUUGAACAUGACAUCACCUGUUCAAUUAUGCCCAAAUACUAGAGUGACCGUAAACUGUCUUGUGGAUGACAGUAAUGCUAAUGGACAAUGGACGCUUAGAUGGGAAGAUGCAAAUACCACUGUGCUAAGGAUUUGUACACAAAUAGAGGAAUGCCUUUUAACGCUGGAUUAUACGGGAGAUGGUUUAAACACAUACAUUUGCUACGCUUGGACAUCAGUGGACCUUUUGAAACAUUCCUUGACAGUUUCAAGCUCAAUGACAGAGGACCUAUUUAUGGAGGCAACUAUUGUAAAACAAAGCAUUCCUAAUAUACUUAACUUAACCUGCAACACCAGCGGAAAAUGCAUGCCAUGUGCAAUUGCAUGGAGCAGCAACUCCGUCUUACUUGACCCUAUAUCGACCUCACAAUGGACAAAGAACAGUGGCUCCGGCUAUACAAGUGUUUCAAAUGCUCUCUAUUUCAUUACUAAAGAUGUGGACGGGAAAAGGAUACAGUGUUCUGUAAAUUGUGGGAACGAGUCUUCAUAUUCAAACAAUGAAACAUACACAAUUUCCUUUCAAGCUGUUCAAGAUUCAACUAACAACUCUGCACCAGUUCUAACCCAAAAGUGGUUUAUGUCGGUCAUCUACGCCGUAGCUGGAACACUUUUAUGUCUACUUGUUCUAACGUUAACUUUACUUCUCUUUAGGCGAUGUAAACCUCAUGUGGUACACAGAAUGAAAUUAAGCUGCACAAAACAACACUCCCCUUACAUGAAUCUGACGUCAUUUUUUAUCAAUGAACCUCGGAUCGAUCAUGAGUUCAUAUGGAGCAAUCAACUGGAGUAUUUACAAAGGUUAUAAUGCCAUACUUGAUUAUUUGUUACAUCGGUAAUUUCGCUUUUAAAAUUUUAAGGUAAAAUGCAUAAAUUGUUGAUAACCACAUGAGUGCAAUGGCAUUUUAAAAUAUCCUCGUAUCCUUCGGACUUUAAAUACAUAAUAUCUUGUUUUAAAUGUCAAGAAAUGUGUUAUUACAUGAAUGAUAAAAGCAUUUACGUCUUUGGCACAGUUUAUGCAACGCUUCUACGCCGAAGGAAAACUGCAGUUAGAGAGCGAUGUACACAUGUGUAUGAUACGGUGUCUAAUGUUGAGACAACUGCGCUUCACAAUCUGAGAGGAGUGUCAACAAAUGCUAUCCAGGUCACAAACGCACCUCAACAUUUGGAUAUGGAAGGAAACAAAGUCCUCUCAAAUGAAAAUGUAAGCCACUAUGACUAUGUGGACACUACAUCCGACCACAGCGACAGUCAGACAAACGCGCCGGAUGCAAAUUAUAUUCACGCUUUAUAAAACUAGCGUGAGAGUCGUUUUUACUAUGUAGUCAGAUUUGUAUUGUUCGAAAAUCCUAUGAUCAUUUCAGUUACGCUAACUGUUUCAAGGCGUUUAUUGUUAUUUGUUUCCUCCCUUUUGUACAAUUGUCAUAUCUUUUUUAAUUUAUUUAUCAUAUGAGUGCAUAGUUUCGUAGAUGAUUGAUAUUAGCCGGAAAUAUAGGUAUUGUUGUAUUGCACCUUGGAAGCUUUUGAAUAUAAACGAUAUUUUGAUUUUUCAGUCAUUAUUUAGUCAUUAUUCAAUGGAAACUUUUAUAUAUUAUAUAUGUGUGUGUUUGUGUGUGUGCGUGUGUGUACAUACCGUGGAUGGUCUUAUGAGGUUGAGCAAGGUUAAGCUUUAAACAAAACUUCAAUACAUUAUGUUUGGCCGUUGUGCUUGUUGUUUUUGUUACUAUUGUAUUUUUAUAGUGUGAGUAAUCGGAUUGCCUGAUCCAGAAGUCCAACUAUCAACAUAGAGUCUAUGGCUGUUACCCUGUUCUAUUAUAGUUGCUAUGAGUUUUAUUUUACUUCUUUUUUGAUUAUCAUGAUGUUAUUUGUUGUAUAUAAUUUUGUGUCAUACUGGUCAUUUAAGCACAUCUGUGCACAAAAUAAAAUUUACUUAAAAUCA
Mya arenaria is the source of this 2872-nucleotide RNA transcript. RefSeq lists it as uncharacterized. NCBI's taxonomy places the organism in Eukaryota, Metazoa, Mollusca, Bivalvia, Myida, Myidae. The record is from RefSeq and is a predicted model, not a curated record. The transcript has 8 exons.